Molecule: transfer RNA, 73 nt
Filed under: Cordylochernes scorpioides
Lineage: Eukaryota; Metazoa; Arthropoda; Arachnida; Pseudoscorpiones; Chernetidae
Description: tRNA-Met
Rfam family: tRNA
About the family: Transfer RNA (tRNA) molecules are approximately 80 nucleotides in length. Their secondary structure includes four short double-helical elements and three loops (D, anti-codon, and T loops).
Source: RNAcentral
UUCAGGGAAGCCUAGUGGCAUGGCAUCUGCUCCAUAAGCGGAACACUGUAGGUUCGAUUCCCAUCCCUAGAAA